Ipomoea nil (Japanese morning glory) is the source of this 2396-nucleotide RNA transcript. It is a transcript of the gene named myosin-binding protein 2, with no coding region annotated. Lineage: Eukaryota; Viridiplantae; Streptophyta; Magnoliopsida; Solanales; Convolvulaceae. The record is from RefSeq and is a predicted model, not a curated record. The transcript is spliced from 3 exons.
GUCCCAAAGUUGUACCUUUUUGAACAUGAGCCACCAGCUCAUUAUUUUGGCUAUGGUGGCCCUCCCAAGGGCUUGUUUUGGCCCGAAAAUCGGGCCAUGAGCGAGUACAAUAAUAACAGUCGAGAUUAGAUCGAGCAUAAGUUAUUAUUUAUGCAUUAUGGGGUUUUUUUUUUUUCCGAUCUCUAAAGUAAAGUUUGUCGAAGUAAAAGGCGUUAUUUAGCUGCUUGUUCACUUUCGGUUUAGCUCCAACGGCUAGAAAGGCUCCCCGAAAUGAUAUUAUGCCCUUUUACUUAGUAGUGUUUAAGAAGAGAGUACAAACUACAAAACCUGUGUGAUCUUCCCAGCAGGCAUCAAUGGCUGCCAACAAAUUUGCAGCAAUGUUGCAGAGAAGUGCCCAUAGUAUCACUGCAGUUUUAGUGUCUGCAGUUCUUGAGUGGAUUCUCAUACUUCUCCUCCUCCUCAGCUCCACCUUGUCCUACUUCACCGAGAGAUUCGCCGCCUAUUUUGGCCUAAAACCGCCCUGCAGUUGGUGUUCGAGGAUCAAUCGGGUGCUGCAGCCCGAUAGGAAGAAUGCACAUUUCUGUCGAGAUCUUUUCUGUGAGGAGCAUGCUCGAGAGGUUUCCGAACUCGGGUACUGCUCGAAUCAUCGGAGGCUUGCUGAAUCGGGGAGGUUAUGCAGCGAUUGCUCGCCUUCUAGACUGCCCGAGAAUGCUGCAGAGAAGACCACUGGAAUCUCUGCAAGUAUAGGCUUCUUUACUUGGGUGAGUGAGAGUGCAGCAGAGAAUAAUAGUUGCAGGUGUUCUUGCUGUGAUGAGAGCUUGAGCAAGAAGCUUGAUCUUCCUUGCCUGCAGUUCAAGCCUUCUUGGGAUAUUCUUCAUCAAAUCUGGAAAACCAGAGUUGUGAAUGAUGACAGAUAUGAAGAAUUCGAACUCUCUGCAGAUCAAAAGAAUGGCAACAGAGCCAAAAAUGGUGAUAAUCUUGCCUUCCCUGAUUCUGAUACAGAGAGUUUCAGUUUCGGGCCAAUAGUGGAGCAGGAUUGUUCGAUUUCAGUAUCGAAUUUCCCACGCUACCAGAAGCCGAGUUUUCUUGGCAGAGACAAGGCUGAUGCAGAUGACAAUUUCCCAGAGCAUGAACAGCAGCAGAACUGUUUCAGAAUCCUAAACGUUGGAGCUGAAUCUUCAGACAACAUAGUAAGCGUGUUGGAAGAAGGCGGGGACGAGAAUCUCACCAUUGAGCAGCUGAAAUCCGCGUUGAAUGCAUCGUAUGCAGAGCUCGAGGAAGAACGAAACGCUGCUGCCAUAGCUGCGAGCCAGACAAUGGCUAUGAUCUCGAAGCUGCAGGAAGAGAAGGCUGCAAUGCAGAUGGAGGCAUUGCAGUACCAGAGAAUGAUGGAAGAGCAAUCGGAGUACGACCAGGAAGCGUUGCAGAUCCUAAACGAUCUGAUGAUGAAGCGAGAGAAAGAGAAGCAAGAACUCGAGAAGGAGCUGGAGACUUCCCAGAAGAAGGUUUCAUAUUAUGAAUCCAGAGAAAAGACGAGAAGGAGAAGUAAGCAAUCUCCUGCUUCUCCUCCCAGCAGUCCCACCUAUGAAGGGAAACAUGACAACAUUAGUAUUUCCAACGUAGACUUGAUCGCGAGGGAAUCAGACACAGAUUCCCUUGAGCAUAUCAGCGUUCUUGACAAAUCGGUGAUAGAGUUUGAGGAAGAGAGGACAUCCAUCUUACAAGAACUCAAGGAACUGGAAGACAGGCUUUUAGCACUGGCAGACGAAAAUGGUACACUUGAGCAUUUCCCAGAAGAUUAUGAGAGCUAUGUCCAUAGCUUCCUAGAACAAAAUGGGAAUUCAAUUGGAUCAUCAGAGAGAGAAUCAUUAAGCUCCACAGCAAAGAAUCUGCUGCCCCUUCUCGACGAAGAAGCAGAAUCCAUCGAAGAAGAGCUUGAAGAACACAGUCCUUCUGUGAUGAUCAACAGCAGACUUGCCAUAAUGGAGGAAUUCGGGCACGUGUACGAGAAGCUACAAGCUCUCGAAGCCGACAAGGAAUUUCUGAAGCACUCCAUAAGCUCAUUGAAGAAAGGGGACAAGGGACUAGAUCUCCUCCAAGAAAUUUUGCAGCAUCUUCGCGAUCUCAAGUCAGUCGAAUCUGCAAACUAAGCCGGUAUAUCAUAUCACUUUUCAAGCUAAAUUUAUCAAUCAAAUACUAGUAUUGAUGGCAGAAGCUCACAUUUCAUUGUUUCAUUGUAAUGUGCACUAGAAUUUGUGUAUGUCUGGCCAUGGCUAUCUUGUAUGAAUAUACUGUUUUACAAAACUACAUUUACGGUUUAUGGUAUAGGCCCAACGGUUUAGUAGGUCUGAUAGGCUUAAUUGACAAUGACCCGAAUCACAAAUUUAGUGGUCCAA